GGCCCAAUAAACACAAUCCCUUCUUGGUCAUCAUAAAAAUUAUGAUCAUAUUUUUAGAUCCUGAUAUUGCAUGUUGGUCCAAUACACUUUAUUGGUUUGGGCUAAUUAUUGUAGAGCAUUCUAUGGAUAUUUUACUGCCAUGAUGAUAAGGUCUCUUGAUUGAUCUUAUUUUUUUGAAAUUUUGAGGAACAUAUCCAUGUUGGUUAUAAGUGAGACUC
RNAcentral lists this long non-coding RNA (218 nucleotides) under Elaeis guineensis (African oil palm). RNAcentral's name for it is "long non-coding RNA (EGUI_LNC036683)". Lineage: Eukaryota; Viridiplantae; Streptophyta; Magnoliopsida; Arecales; Arecaceae. The record is from RNAcentral.